AGUCUUACGUGUUUGUUCACCGACUUACGCGAUUAUUCGCUUGUUACUGUUCAUGGGGUUCUAAGAUAAAACAUUGGAAUUAAAUAAGUAAAACCCCACAAAGUGUCUGCCUUAUCAACUGCCGAUGGUAGGUUAAGCGCCUGCCAUAGCCGUAACUGGUGACGUUAAAUUAGGGUUCGAUUCCGGAGAGGAAGCCUGAGAAACGGCUACCACAUCCAAGGAAGGCAGCAGGCGCAAAAAUUACAGGCUCCCAUAACGGGUAGGUAGUGGCGAAAAAUAACAACAUGAGAUUCUUUUGAGGCCCUGUAACUGGAAUGCGUGCAUUCUAAAUCCUCAACGUGGAUCAAUUGGAGGGCAAGUCUGGUGCCAGUAGCCGCGAUAAUUCCAGCUCCAAUAGCGUAUAUU
This 405-nucleotide non-coding RNA is filed under the name Stegodyphus mimosarum. Its description in RNAcentral is "eukaryotic small subunit ribosomal RNA". It matches the Rfam family "Eukaryotic small subunit ribosomal RNA", at positions 199 to 605 of the family's 1831-position model. Lineage: Eukaryota; Metazoa; Arthropoda; Arachnida; Araneae; Eresidae. The record is from Rfam by way of RNAcentral.